RNAcentral lists this ribosomal RNA (206 nucleotides) under Bacillus licheniformis. RNAcentral's name for it is "partial 23S ribosomal RNA". It matches the Rfam family "Bacterial large subunit ribosomal RNA", at positions 1 to 205 of the family's 2925-position model. Lineage: Bacteria; Bacillati; Bacillota; Bacilli; Caryophanales; Bacillaceae. The record is from RNAcentral.
GGUUAAGUUAGAAAGGGCGCAGGUGGAUGCCUUGGCACUAGGAGCCGAUGAAGGACGGGACGAACACCGAUAUGCUUCGGGGAGCUGUAAGCAAGCUUUGAUCCGGAGAUUUCCGAAUGGGGAAACCCACUGCUCGUAAUGGAGCAGUAUCCAUAUCUGAAUUCAUAGGAUAUGAGAAGGCAGACCCGGGGAACUGAAACAUCUAA